Molecule: ribosomal RNA, 280 nt
Filed under: uncultured Pseudomonadota bacterium
Lineage: Bacteria; Pseudomonadati; Pseudomonadota
Description: uncultured proteobacterium partial 16S ribosomal RNA
Rfam family: Bacterial small subunit ribosomal RNA
Source: RNAcentral
CCUACGGGGGGCAGCAGUGGGGAAUUUUGGACAAUGGGCGCAAGCCUGAUCCAGCAAUGCCGCGUGCAGGAUGAAGGCCUUCGGGUUGUAAACUGCUUUUGUACGGAGCGAAACGGCUCCCUCUAAUACAGGGGGCUAAUGACGGUACCGUAAGAAUAAGCACCGGCUAACUACGUGCCAGCAGCCGCGGUAAUACGUAGGGUGCGAGCGUUAAUCGGAAUUACUGGGCGUAAAGCGUGCGCAGGCGGUUAUAUAAGACAGAUGUGAAAUCCCCGGGCUC